UGGGGAAUUUUCCGCAAUGGGCGUGAGCCUGACGGAGCAAUACCGCGUGAGGGAAGACGGCUUUUGGGUUGUAAACCUCUUUUCUCUGGGAAGAAGAUCUGACGGUACCAGAGGAAUCAGCAUCGGCUAACUCCGUGCCAGCAGCCGCGGUAAUACGGAGGAUGCAAGCGUUAUCCGGAAUUAUUGGGCGUAAAGGGUCCGCAGGUGGUUUAUCAAGUCUGUUGUCAAAGCGUGGAGCUUAACUCCAUAUCGGCAAUGGAAACUGAGUAACUAGAGUACAGUAGGGGUUGCGGGAAUUCCCAGUGUAGCAGUGAAAUGCGUAGAUAUUGGGAAGAACACCAGCGGCGAAAGCGCGCAACUGGGCUGAGACUGACACUGAGGGACGAAAGCUAGGGGAGCGAAAGGGAUUAGAUACCCCUGUAGUCCUAGCUGUAAACGAUGGAUACUAGGUGUUGGACGUAUCGACCCGUGCGGUACCGUAACUAACGCGUUAAGUAUCCCGCCUGGGGAGUACGCUCGCAAGAGUG
This 527-nucleotide ribosomal RNA is filed under the name uncultured bacterium. RNAcentral's name for it is "bacterial SSU rRNA". It matches the Rfam family "Bacterial small subunit ribosomal RNA", at positions 355 to 896 of the family's 1533-position model. The record is from RNAcentral.